RNAcentral lists this ribosomal RNA (468 nucleotides) under uncultured bacterium. Its description in RNAcentral is "partial 16S ribosomal RNA". It matches the Rfam family "Bacterial small subunit ribosomal RNA", at positions 28 to 507 of the family's 1533-position model. The record is from RNAcentral.
GACGAACGCUGGCGGCGCGCCUAACACAUGCAAGUCGAACGGAGCUGAGAGAAGCUUGCUUUUCUUAGCUUAGUGGCGAACGGGUGAGUAACGCGUGAGUAACCUGCCCUGGAGUGGGGGUCAACAGUUGGAAACGACUGCUAAUACCGCAUAAGCCCACGAUCCGGCAUCGGAUUGAGGGAAAAGGAUUUAUUCGCUUCAGGAUGGACUCGCGUCCAAUUAGCUAGUUGGUGAGGUAACGGCCCACCAAGGCGACGAUUGGUAGCCGGACUGAGAGGUUGAACGGCCACAUUGGGACUGAGACACGGCCCAGACUCCUACGGGAGGCAGCAGUGGGGGAUAUUGCACAAUGGGGGAAACCCUGAUGCAGCGACGCCGCGUGGAGGAAGAAGGUUUUCGGAUUGUAAACUCCUGUCGUUAGGGACGAUAAUGACGGUACCUAACAAGAAAGCACCGGCUAACUACGUG